CACUUAGAACCCUCCUUCCGGGAGUGUUAAUAGUCAUGCUUUUGGCCGAGCAUGGCGGUUAGAGAAUC
Molecule: non-coding RNA, 68 nt
Filed under: uncultured Prevotella sp.
Lineage: Bacteria; Pseudomonadati; Bacteroidota; Bacteroidia; Bacteroidales; Prevotellaceae
Description: L13-Bacteroidia ribosomal protein leader
Rfam family: L13-Bacteroidia ribosomal protein leader
Source: RNAcentral